ACGAACGCUGGCGGCGUGCCUAAUACAUGCAAGUAGAACGCUGAAGGAGGAGCUUGCUUCUCUGGAUGAGUUGCGAACGGGUGAGUAACGCGUAGGUAACCUGCCUGGUAGCGGGGGAUAACUAUUGGAAACGAUAGCUAAUACCGCAUAAGAGUAGAUGUUGCAUGACAUUUACUUAAAAGGUGCAAUUGCAUCACUACCAGAUGGACCUGCGUUGUAUUAGCUAGUUGGUGAGGUAACGGCUCACCAAGGCAACGAUACAUAGCCGACCUGAGAGGGUGAUCGGCCACACUGGGACUGAGACACGGCCCAGACUCCUACGGGAGGCAGCAGUAGGGAAUCUUCGGCAAUGGACGGAAGUCUGACCGAGCAACGCCGCGUGAGUGAAGAAGGUUUUCGGAUCGUAAAGAUCUGUUGUAAGAGAAGAACAAGAGUGAGAGUGGAAAGUUCACACUGUGACGGUAUCUUACCAGAAAGGGACGGCUAACUACGUG
Molecule: ribosomal RNA, 494 nt
Filed under: uncultured bacterium
Lineage: Bacteria
Description: partial 16S ribosomal RNA
Rfam family: Bacterial small subunit ribosomal RNA
Source: RNAcentral